CAAGGAAUAGUUUAAGUAGAAUUUCAGCUUUGGGUGUUGAAGGUGGGGCUAAUGCUUCUUCCUUGA
This 66-nucleotide transfer RNA is filed under the name Cheirogaleus crossleyi (Crossley's dwarf lemur). Its description in RNAcentral is "tRNA-Pro". The record is from RNAcentral. Lineage: Eukaryota; Metazoa; Chordata; Mammalia; Primates; Cheirogaleidae.